AUCUUACUUCCUCCGUUUGGAAUUACUUGCCACAAAAAUGGUUGUAUCUAUAACUAAAAUACAUCUAGAUACAUUCAUUUUUUGGACGAGUAAUUCCGAACGGAGGGAGUAGAAU
This is a non-coding RNA of Triticum aestivum (bread wheat), 115 nucleotides long. The record is from Rfam. NCBI's taxonomy places the organism in Eukaryota, Viridiplantae, Streptophyta, Magnoliopsida, Poales, Poaceae.